GAUGAACGCUAGCGGGAGGCUUAACACAUGCAAGUCGAGGGGCAGCAUAGGGUAGCAAUACUCUGAUGGCGACCGGCAAACGGGUGAGUAACGCGUAUGCAACCUACCCUGUACAGGGGGAUAACCCGGAGAAAUUCGGACUAAUAUCCCGUAAUAAUAUCCGGAGGCAUCUUUGGAUAUUUAAAGUUCCGACGGUACGGGAUGGGCAUCGCGUAACAUUAACUGGUUGGUAAGGUAACGGCUUACCAAGGCUAUGAUGUUUAGGGGUCCUGAGAGGGUGGUCCCCCACACUGGUACUGAGACACGGACCAGACUCCUACGGGAGGCAGCAGUGAGGAAUAUUGGUCAAUGGGCGCAAGCCUGAACCAGCCAUCCCGCGUGCAGGAAGACGGCCCUAUGGGUUGUAAACUGCUUUUCCAGGGAGAGAAACUUACGCACGUGUUGCGUGACUGACGGUACCCUGGGAAUAAGCAUCGGCUAACUCCGUG
RNAcentral lists this ribosomal RNA (488 nucleotides) under uncultured bacterium. RNAcentral's name for it is "bacterial SSU rRNA". It matches the Rfam family "Bacterial small subunit ribosomal RNA", at positions 28 to 507 of the family's 1533-position model. The record is from RNAcentral.